RNAcentral lists this ribosomal RNA (433 nucleotides) under uncultured bacterium. RNAcentral describes it as "partial 16S ribosomal RNA". It matches the Rfam family "Bacterial small subunit ribosomal RNA", at positions 29 to 507 of the family's 1533-position model. The record is from RNAcentral.
AGCGAACGCUGGCGGCAGGCUUAACACAUGCAAGUCGAGCGGGCCUUUCGGGGUCAGCGGCGGACGGGUGAGUAACGCGUGGAAACGUGCCCUCUGGUUCGGAAUAACUCAGGGAAACUUGAGCUAAUACCGGAUACGCCCUUUUGGGGAAAGGCUUGCUGCCGGAGGAUCGGCCCGCGUCUGAUUAGCUAGUUGGUGAGGUAACGGCUCACCAAGGCGACGAUCAGUAGCUGGUCUGAGAGGAUGAUCAGCCACACUGGGACUGAGACACGGCCCAGACUCCUACGGGAGGCAGCAGUGGGGAAUAUUGGACAAUGGGCGCAAGCCUGAUCCAGCCAUGCCGCGUGAGUGAUGAAGGCCUUAGGGUUGUAAAGCUCUUUUAUCCGGGACGAUAAUGACGGUACCGGAGGAAUAAGCCCCGGCUAACUUCGUG